GAUGAAGAACGCAGCGAAAUGCGAUAAGUAAUGUGAAUUGCAGAAUUCAGUGAAUCAUCGAAUCUUUGAACGCAUCUUGCGCUCCUUGGUAUUCUGAGGAGCAUGCCUGUUUGAGUGUCAUUAAAUUCUCAACUACACUGACUUUGAAUUGGUGUGGCUUGGAUUUGGGGGGGAAAAUUGUUGUGGGCUUUUUGUAUAGUCUGCUCCCCUGAAAUUGAUUAGCGGUACCUUUGUGGAACUGUCUACAGGUGUGAUAAUUAUCUACAUCCUAGACAUCUGCUGGAAUGCUGCUUUCUAAACCUUACUUGUAUUGACAAUCUUGACCUCAAAUCAGGUAGGACUACCCGCUGAACUUAAGCAUAUCAAUAAGCGGAGGA
RNAcentral lists this unclassified non-coding RNA (377 nucleotides) under soil metagenome. RNAcentral's name for it is "partial contains 5.8S ribosomal RNA, internal transcribed spacer 2, and large subunit ribosomal RNA". The stretch from base 1 to 120 matches the Rfam family "5.8S ribosomal RNA", at positions 35 to 154 of the family's 154-position model. The record is from RNAcentral.